GCAGCAUACGCCGAGCCGGUCUUUGAGCGCUAACGUCUUUCUGUGUCCCCGCGGUGGUGAUGACGGUGAAAACUGAGGCUGCUAAGGGCACCCUCACUUACUCCAGGAUGAGGGGCAUGGUGGCAGUUCUCAUCGCUUUCAUGAAGCAGAGGAGGAUGGGUCUGAACGACUUUAUUCAGAAGAUUGCCAAUAACUCCUAUGCAUGCAAACACCCUGAAGUUCAGUCCAUCUUGAAAAUCUCCCAACCUCAGGAGCCUGAGCUUAUGAAUGCCAACCCUUCUCCUCCAGUAAGUUUUUGUAUGUGCCGUGCAUCUGUGGAGAACUGUAAGGGAGUCAGUUAGUAUUCCUACAUUAAUGGAUUAAAAUAGCAUUUCUAGAAAUUAGUAUCAAGGCAGGAAUGCUUCAUUAUGGCAUAACAAGUGAUAUAAAUAUUUAAGUAUUGAGUCAGAGUAUUAUUUUUUUUCCUGGGCAUAUUUUACUUCCAAAGUGGUUAUUUUAAAAGGCAUAUUUCAUAAAAAGGUUUUAUCUGUCUGAAACAACAUGAUUGUGUGCAGUUUCCAUACUCAUUUGAAAUGUGAUGAAAUGUAG
This 588-nucleotide small RNA is filed under the name Pan troglodytes (chimpanzee). Its description in RNAcentral is "retained intron". The record is from RNAcentral. Lineage: Eukaryota; Metazoa; Chordata; Mammalia; Primates; Hominidae.